This is a long non-coding RNA of Bos taurus (domestic cattle), 648 nucleotides long. The record is from Ensembl. NCBI's taxonomy places the organism in Eukaryota, Metazoa, Chordata, Mammalia, Artiodactyla, Bovidae.
CACCACACGUGGAAUGGUUGAAGGACAGAGGGAUACUUAGUUUGGAGAAGACUCCAGUUUGCCAUGUGACUUGUGUUCAGAUCCACCAGCUCUUUGAGAUAAGAAAGCUGAAGAGAGAGGUUACGAUACUUGCCCCAGGUCACAUAGCAAGCAUAUGGCGAUGUUUGUUAACUCAGGUGACUGGCCCUGCCACAGGUUGCCAUGGGAAUGAGAUGCACAAGUGACCUGAAUAUUCUGGUUACCUACACAGACUUUACAGAAGUGGACCUGGCCUCACUGCAUGGCACAUCCCCAGAUGAGCAUGUCCUCAUCCAUGGGUUGUUUCAUCCAUGGAUUUAUUGCCGUAAAAUUGUCCUCCUCAUCCUUCUCUGUAUAUACCGCUCACCCUGUUGGUCCUUCAAUUUUUUUCCUAGUCUUUUCCUCUGGGGGACUUGCUUGAUUCCACUGAUAAUAAAAGGAAAGUAGUAGAGCAUUUCUGGAGAAGGCAAUGGCACCCCACUCCAGUACUCUUGCCUGGAAAAUCCCAUGGAUGGAGGAGCCUGGUGGGCUGCAGUCCAUGGGGUCGCGAAGAGUCAGACACGACUGAGCGACUUCACUUUUACUUUUCACUUUCACUUUUCACUUUCAUGCAUUGGAGAAGGAAAUGGC